AAAUUGAAGAGUUUGAUCAUGGCUCAGAUUGAACGCUGGCGGCAGGCCUAACACAUGCAAGUCGAACGGUAACAGGAAGCAGCUUGCUGCUUCGCUGACGAGUGGCGGACGGGUGAGUAAUGUCUGGGAAACUGCCUGAUGGAGGGGGAUAACUACUGGAAACGGUGGCUAAUACCGCAUAACGUCGCAAGACCAAAGAGGGGGACCUUCGGGCCUCUUGCCAUCAGAUGUGCCCAGAUGGGAUUAGCUAGUUGGUGAGGUAACGGCUCACCAAGGCGACGAUCCCUAGCUGGUCUGAGAGGAUGACCAGCCACACUGGAACUGAGACACGGUCCAGACUCCUACGGGAGGCAGCAGUGGGGAAUAUUGCACAAUGGGCGCAAGCCUGAUGCAGCCAUGCCGCGUGUAUGAAGAAGGCCUUAGGGUUGUAAAGUACUUUCAGCGGGGAGGAAGGUGUUGUGGUUAAUAACCGCAGCAAUUGACGUUACCCGCAGAAGAAGCACCGGCUAACUCCGUGCCAGCAGCCGCGGUAAUACGGAGGGUGCAAGCGUUAAUCGGAAUUACUGGGCGUAAAGCGCACGCAGGCGGUCUGUCAAGUCGGAUGUGAAAUCCCCGGGCUCAACCUGGGAACUGCAUUCGAAACUGGCAGGCUUGAGUCUUGUAGAGGGGGGUAGAAUUCCAGGUGUAGCGGUGAAAUGCGUAGAGAUCUGGAGGAAUACCGGUGGCGAAGGCGGCCCCCUGGACAAAGACUGACGCUCAGGUGCGAAAGCGUGGGGAGCAAACAGGAUUAGAUACCCUGGUAGUCCACGCCGUAAACGAUGUCUACUUGGAGGUUGUGCCCUUGAGGCGUGGCUUCCGGAGCUAACGCGUUAAGUAGACCGCCUGGGGAGUACGGCCGCAAGGUUAAAACUCAAAUGAAUUGACGGGGGCCCGCACAAGCGGUGGAGCAUGUGGUUUAAUUCGAUGCAACGCGAAGAACCUUACCUGGUCUUGACAUCCACAGAACUUUCCAGAGAUGGAUUGGUGCCUUCGGGAACUGUGAGACAGGUGCUGCAUGGCUGUCGUCAGCUCGUGUUGUGAAAUGUUGGGUUAAGUCCCGCAACGAGCGCAACCCUUAUCCUUUGUUGCCAGCGGUUAGGCCGGGAACUCAAAGGAGACUGCCAGUGAUAAACUGGAGGAAGGUGGGGAUGACGUCAAGUCAUCAUGGCCCUUACGACCAGGGCUACACACGUGCUACAAUGGCGCAUACAAAGAGAAGCGACCUCGCGAGAGCAAGCGGACCUCAUAAAGUGCGUCGUAGUCCGGAUUGGAGUCUGCAACUCGACUCCAUGAAGUCGGAAUCGCUAGUAAUCGUGGAUCAGAAUGCCACGGUGAAUACGUUCCCGGGCCUUGUACACACCGCCCGUCACACCAUGGGAGUGGGUUGCAAAAGAAGUAGGUAGCUUAACCUUCGGGAGGGCGCUUACCACUUUGUGAUUCAUGACUGGGGUGAAGUCGUAACAAGGUAACCGUAGGGGAACCUGCGGUUGGAUCACCUCCUUA
Molecule: ribosomal RNA, 1542 nt
Filed under: Salmonella enterica subsp. enterica serovar Thompson
Lineage: Bacteria; Pseudomonadati; Pseudomonadota; Gammaproteobacteria; Enterobacterales; Enterobacteriaceae
Also listed under: 43 other names
Description: bacterial SSU rRNA
Rfam family: Bacterial small subunit ribosomal RNA
Source: RNAcentral